UACGUAGGGGGCUAGCGUUGUCCGGAAUCAUUGGGCGUAAAGCGCGCGUAGGCGGACCUGCAAGUCGGGGGUGAAAGCCCGAGGCUCAACCUCGGAACUGCCUUCGAUACUGCGGGUCUCGAGUCCGGGAGAGGUGAGUGGAAUUCCUAGUGUAGAGGUGAAAUUCGUAGAUAUUAGGAAGAACACCAGUGGCGAAGGCGGCUCACUGGCCCGGUACUGACGCUGAGGCGCGAAAGCGUGGGGAGCAAACAGG
This 253-nucleotide ribosomal RNA is filed under the name uncultured bacterium. RNAcentral's name for it is "partial 16S ribosomal RNA". It matches the Rfam family "Bacterial small subunit ribosomal RNA", at positions 524 to 776 of the family's 1533-position model. The record is from RNAcentral.